AAUCUAUUCAAUAUAAACAAGCAAAUAACUGCAAACACGCAGUUAUUUACUUUACAAGCUGUUAAUAGAUGGACUGGAAUCAUGUGGAUUACUUGUGGAUAAGUGUCAUGUUUUUCUCAGCUGUAUGGCACCCAUUCACUGCAGAGGAUCCAUUGGUGAAGAAGUGAUGUAAUGCUACAUUUCUCCUACAAAUCUGUUCUGAUGAUGAAAUAACUCAUCUACAUCUAGGAUCACCUGAGGAUGGAGUUUGUCUUGGAUUGAGGAGUCGACCAUCAGAAAAUCAACGAACCGUACUGCUAACUAUAAUGCUGGAAGACUGUGUUGGACCAGCUAUCUGCUGAUGGAAAUUAUGUCAGAGAGGUCUCUUAUGACACAACAAAUAUUAGGUACACACUUUUGCAACCCAGUUGGCAUCCAUAUUUAUU
Molecule: long non-coding RNA, 425 nt
Organism: Cyprinus carpio carpio
Lineage: Eukaryota; Metazoa; Chordata; Actinopteri; Cypriniformes; Cyprinidae
Source: Ensembl